RNAcentral lists this ribosomal RNA (464 nucleotides) under uncultured bacterium. Its description in RNAcentral is "partial 16S ribosomal RNA". It matches the Rfam family "Bacterial small subunit ribosomal RNA", at positions 28 to 507 of the family's 1533-position model. The record is from RNAcentral.
GACGAACGCUGGCGGCGUGCUUAACACAUGCAAGUCGAACGGAAAGGCCCUGCUUGCAGGGUACUCGAGUGGCGAACGGGUGAGUAACACGUGGGUGAUCUGCCCUGCACUUCGGGAUAAGCCUGGGAAACUGGGUCUAAUACCGGAGAGGAGCCAUUUUUAGUGUGAUGGUUGGAAAGUUUUUUCGGUGUAGGAUGAGCUCGCGGCCUAUCAGCUUGUUGGUGGGGUAAUGGCCUACCAAGGCGGCGACGGGUAGCCGGCCUGAGAGGGUGGACGGCCACAUUGGGACUGAGAUACGGCCCAGACUCCUACGGGAGGCAGCAGUGGGGAAUAUUGCACAAUGGGCGCAAGCCUGAUGCAGCGACGCCGCGUGGGGGAUGACGGCCUUCGGGUUGUAAACUACUUUCGCUAGGGACGAAGCUUUUGUGACGGUACCUAGAUAAGAAGCACCGGCUAACUACGUG